UACGAAGGGGGCUAGCGUUGCUCGGAAUUACUGGGCGUAAAGCGCACGUAGGCGGCCUGUUGCGUCCGCUGUGAAAUCCCGGGGCUUAACCCCGGGCGUGCAGUGGAUACGGGCUGGCUGGAGGCAGGCAGGGGAGAACGGAAUUCCCGGUGUAGCGGUGAAAUGCGCAGAUAUCGGGAGGAACACCGGUGGUGUAGACGGCUUUCUGGACCGUAACUGACGCUGAGACACGAAAGCGUGGGUAGCAAACAGG
RNAcentral lists this ribosomal RNA (253 nucleotides) under uncultured bacterium. Its description in RNAcentral is "partial 16S ribosomal RNA". It matches the Rfam family "Bacterial small subunit ribosomal RNA", at positions 524 to 776 of the family's 1533-position model. The record is from RNAcentral.